UUGAUGGUGCUUAUCAAUUAUUGCACAUAAUUUUAAUCACAAUUAGUAUACUUGCCGUAGUGGUUGGAAAUAUUGUCUUGCACUGAAGGGUUGCGGGUUUGAAUCUUAGUCAAGACAAAAUUGUAUUAUUUUUUAAUAAAAAUUGCAAGAUAAAAUGGAGGGAAAACAUGAAAAACAAAUUAGGGUUUAGAGUUUGCUUAUGUAUACAAGCUUAUAAUAUAAAAGAUUUCUUUGACGAAGGUGUCUUGAAAAUUCAGUGUAGUCAAG
RNAcentral lists this long non-coding RNA (267 nucleotides) under Trifolium pratense (red clover). RNAcentral's name for it is "long non-coding RNA (TPRA_LNC000232)". Lineage: Eukaryota; Viridiplantae; Streptophyta; Magnoliopsida; Fabales; Fabaceae. The record is from RNAcentral.